AUCGUUCAUCUCUCUAAGUCCUGACUAGGGAGACGGAAGUAGGGAAAUAUCCCGAAGGAACGCGCC
Molecule: non-coding RNA, 66 nt
Filed under: Pleurocapsa sp.
Lineage: Bacteria; Bacillati; Cyanobacteriota; Cyanophyceae; Pleurocapsales; Pleurocapsaceae
Also listed under: 1 other name
Description: Glutamine-I sequence
Rfam family: Glutamine riboswitch aptamer (glnA leader)
Source: RNAcentral